RNAcentral lists this transfer RNA (104 nucleotides) under archaeon AH-315-M20. Its description in RNAcentral is "tRNA-Ala". The record is from RNAcentral.
GGGCCGGUAGUGAAAUCUGGUAUCAUAUUCCCUUGGCUUGGGAAAGAUUCCGGGAAAUUGUGAGCAAGGUUCACUAUUCGGAAAUUCAAAUCCCGGCCGGUCCA